Molecule: transfer RNA, 87 nt
Filed under: Mycoplasmopsis pulmonis
Lineage: Bacteria; Bacillati; Mycoplasmatota; Mycoplasmoidales; Metamycoplasmataceae
Also listed under: 1 other name
Description: Mycoplasma pulmonis MYPU_TRNA_LEU_2
Rfam family: tRNA
About the family: Transfer RNA (tRNA) molecules are approximately 80 nucleotides in length. Their secondary structure includes four short double-helical elements and three loops (D, anti-codon, and T loops). Further hydrogen bonds mediate the characteristic L-shaped molecular structure. tRNAs have two regions of fundamental functional importance: the anti-codon, which is responsible for specific mRNA codon recognition, and the 3' end, to which the tRNAs corresponding amino acid is attached (by aminoacyl-tRNA synthetases). tRNAs cope with the degeneracy of the genetic code in two manners: having more than one tRNA (with a specific anti-codon) for a particular amino acid; and 'wobble' base-pairing, i.e. permitting non-standard base-pairing at the 3rd anti-codon position.
Source: RNAcentral
GCCCGGGUGGCGGAAUAGGUAGACGCAGGGGACUUAAAAUCCCCCGGCAGUAGUGCCGUGCUGGUUCAAUUCCAGUUCCGGGUACCA